This 253-nucleotide ribosomal RNA is filed under the name uncultured bacterium. RNAcentral's name for it is "partial 16S ribosomal RNA". It matches the Rfam family "Bacterial small subunit ribosomal RNA", at positions 524 to 776 of the family's 1533-position model. The record is from RNAcentral.
UACGUAGGGACCAAGCGUUGUUCGGAUUUACUGGGCGUAAAGGGCGCGUAGGCGGCUUUGCAAGCCGGAUGUGAAAUCCCCGGGCUUAACCUGGGAACUGCAUUCGGGACUGCAUUGCUAGAGUAUGGGAGAGGGAAGUGGAAUUUCAGGUGUAGCGGUGAAAUGCGUAGAUAUCUGAAGGAACAUCAGUGGCGAAAGCGACUUCCUGGACCAAUACUGACGCUCAUGUGCGAAAGCGUGGGGAGCAAACAGG